GGGUCCAGAGAGGGGAGGUGGCUUGCGUGUUUCUCUU
RNAcentral lists this small RNA (37 nucleotides) under Acididesulfobacillus acetoxydans. RNAcentral's name for it is "CRISPR spacer". Lineage: Bacteria; Bacillati; Bacillota; Clostridia; Eubacteriales; Peptococcaceae. The record is from RNAcentral.